AUUGAACGCUGGCGGCAUGCUUUACACAUGCAAGUCGAACGGCAGCGCGGGCUUCGGCCUGGCGGCGAGUGGCGAACGGGUGAGUAAUGCAUCGGAACGUGCCCAGUAGUGGGGGAUAGCCCGGCGAAAGCCGGAUUAAUACCGCAUACGACCUGAGGGUGAAAGCGGGGGACCGAAAGGCCUCGCGCUAUUGGAGCGGCCGAUGUCGGAUUAGCUAGUUGGUGGGGUAAAGGCUUACCAAGGCGACGAUCCGUAGCUGGUCUGAGAGGACGACCAGCCACACUGGGACUGAGACACGGCCCAGACUCCUACGGGAGGCAGCAGGGGGGAAUUUUGGACAAGGGGGGCAACCCUGAUCCAGCCAUGCCGCGUGCGGGAAGAAGGCCUGCGGGUUGUAAACCGCUUUUGUUCGGGAAGAAAUCCUCUGGGCUAAUACCCCGGGGGGAGGACGGUACCGGAAGAAUAAGCACCGGCGAACUACGG
This 483-nucleotide ribosomal RNA is filed under the name uncultured bacterium. Its description in RNAcentral is "partial 16S ribosomal RNA". It matches the Rfam family "Bacterial small subunit ribosomal RNA", at positions 28 to 506 of the family's 1533-position model. The record is from RNAcentral.